GUCCACGCCGUAAACGAUGAGAACUAGAUGUUAGGAAGCUUAGACUUUUUAGUAUCGCAGCAAACGCGUUAAGUUCUCCGCCUGGGGAGUACGGCCGCAAGGUUAAAACUCAAAGGAAUUGACGGGGGCCCGCACAAGCGGUGGAGCAUGUGGUUUAAUUCGAUGCAACGCGAAGAACCUUACCUACUUUUGAAUCCACGGAAUUUUGCAGAAAUGUGAAAGUGCCUUCGGGAACCGUGAGACAGGUGCUGCAUGGCUGUCGU
This 263-nucleotide ribosomal RNA is filed under the name uncultured bacterium. Its description in RNAcentral is "partial 16S ribosomal RNA". It matches the Rfam family "Bacterial small subunit ribosomal RNA", at positions 793 to 1055 of the family's 1533-position model. The record is from RNAcentral.